CUACGGGUGGCUCCAGUGGGGAAUAUUGCACAAUGGAGGAAACUCUGAUGCAGCAACGCCGCGUGGAGGAUGACACUUUUCGGAGCGUAAACUCCUUUUAUAUAGGAAGAUAAUGACGGUACUAUAUGAAUAAGCACCGGCUAACUCCGUGCCAGCAGCCGCGGUAAUACGGAGGGUGCAAGCGUUACUCGGAAUCACUGGGCGUAAAGAGCGUGUAGGCGGGUUAAUAAGUCAGAAGUGAAAUCCUAUGGCUCAACCAUAGAACUGCUUUUGAAACUGUUAACCUAGAGUGUGGGAGAGGUAGAUGGAAUUUCUGGUGUAGGGGUAAAAUCCGUAGAGAUCAGAAGGAAUACCGAUUGCGAAGGCGAUCUACUGGAACAUAACUGACGCUGAGACGCGAAAGCGUGGGGAGCAAACAGGAUUAGAUACCCCCGUAGUC
RNAcentral lists this ribosomal RNA (439 nucleotides) under uncultured bacterium. Its description in RNAcentral is "partial 16S ribosomal RNA". It matches the Rfam family "Bacterial small subunit ribosomal RNA", at positions 339 to 795 of the family's 1533-position model. The record is from RNAcentral.